CAAAAUCGUCACGAUUCAACUGUGUGUGUGUGUUGUGGUUGUGGUGGUAAUCUCUGUCUGUGCUACGGCUUCCGCACUCCAUCCUUGUACAUGGUCGUUGCGCACACCUAGAUAUCUAUCUGUAUAUAGUUACGUAUCUGUCUGUUCUUUGCUCGUCUUCCGUUGUUUCCUUUGCUUCUCUCUUGCCCGAUUUUAUUUUGUGUUGUGCGCCCGUUUUCGAAGAGCUCGUCUUGACUACGUGGGACAUCUCUCUCUCUAUAUAUAUACACACGCACACACCGCCACGGAAAGCAGCAAUAAAACAGCGUCGACACUCAACCCAGUUUGUUCAGUUCUCUCCGCUUUCCCUUCCGACACAAUGACGACCGCUGUCGAGGCAAUCGAUGUCGACGACGACGAGUGCUAUCCGGGCGACUCCUUUCAGGACGACUUCGAAAGCGACAGCUCAAGCACCUCGCACCGCUCAGCGCACAUGAAAGAGACCAGAAGGCAUAAUGAGCGGGCGGCGCCAGGAGACUUUGCAGUCAGCGGUGAGGGCACGCCGAGCAACGCAACCACGUCCACCUCCAGUUCAGGCAACCCACCGAGCUCACGCAGUUCUCGCAACUCCUCUGUGCUUCACAGCCUGGGGAAACCACCGGCACACCUGAAAGGUGCCGCCAAAGGCGCUUCGCCCGCUGCGUCGUCGAUCUCAUUGUCGUCUUCAUUGCCGCUCCCGCGCCGCUCCAGCGACAGUGCAUCUGCCCACUCGGCAAAUGGCGACGCCACCUCUGAGGAGGCCAGGUUCGCCGAGAAGAACACCGCGUAUGACGCUGACAGCUUCGUCCUGCCGGCUGACCGUGUGUACGAAGGCCAGCAGCGGCUCGCCGACGGCUGCAUGAGCGAAUCCCGCUCGCGUAGCGGCCGCCUUUCCGUCGACCAGAGGAGCACUGGCGGCCGGUGUGCGCGCGAGGCCGGUUACCCAGUCGGCUCUCAGCCCGAUUAUGUCUCCACCAAUGCGUCGGUGACCGGGCGCUGCCGCCUUCAGCGGCCCGACGUUCCGGAAACUGCCGAGGAGCUUCUGACGAUGCAGGAGGAGAAUGCCAGCAUGCGCGAAGAGCUCUUCCAGCGCAGUCGCGAGCAUUACCAUGCUAGCUUCUCACAGAGCAGCAAAAGCGGCGGCACCUUCAACAGAAAUCGCACCAUUGGUGGCCCUGGUGCGUCACACAAGAGCACGCUGACGUCGGCCGUCGACAGCACAUUUCGGCUUCACCGCGAGUCCACCGCGCGUUUUGUGCAGGUGUCGCUUAUGGCGCAUCGCACGCUGCAGGUACUGCGGUUGGAGCAGCGCGAGCUCCUCAAGCGCCGCGACGAGCUGAGGGAGCUCGUGAGUCGCUACAAGAAGGCCACCAAGUACAAGGAUUAUAUCGAGAUCGCCAAGCAGGACAUUGCCGUCCUGACGGAGGACCACCGCGACGCGCACCUGGAGGUGCGCUGCAACGAGAAGCUGCUUUUGAUGAACGACGCAAUGUUCGAAAGUGGCCUUGGCGAUCGACGACUGCUAGAGGAGGUUCGCUCUCAGAACGCGCUGACGCAGCGUCGACGCGAGCAUGCGCUGCGUGACGCCGACAGUGCGCAGCGCGUGCGUGAUGCCGCAGCGAAGCGGGUGGAGGAGCUGAAGUGGGAGCUGGAAAAGCGGCGUCAGUGGGUGGAGAGGGGAAGCCACGCAGAUGUGAAUCAGCUAUGCGUGCUUAAUCAAGCCAAGAAGGCUCGCAUCCACGAGCUUCGGAGGCAACUGCGGCAGCUGCGGCAAGAGGGCAGGGAGACCCGCGGCGAAUCUGGUUCGCACUCGAGGAAGUUCCAUGGGCCCCCACAAGCUUGUCACAGACAUCAGUGCUACACGCGGCCCGACGACGCCGAGCGCGAGUAUCUUGAGAAGCGCAUUUCAGAGAUUCGUCGCGAACUGGAGGCCAUUGCAGGCGAACCUUCCCAGGUCGCGGCCUCGCGGAGGACGUCGAUCGGCGAUGCAGCUAGUCCGGCUGGGGACACGGGGUCUGCGGCUGCGUCGCCGAAACCUGAGGCGUCUCAAAACGAACUCCCUGCGGCGGCGCAGCAGGAGGGCACCUCAGCAGCGACUGUUGUACAGGAGCUGGCCCGCGCGUGCUCGGUCGAUGGGGAGUCAGCAAAGGCAGGUUCAAACAACGCGUACGACGACGUCGAUGCCACCGCGUGGCUACACGCUCAUUCUGCGGCUGAGAGCGGCCAUAACGAAGCCACGUACUCGCAACGCAGCUCUCAUGACGCUGCUACGGCAGGAAACGACUGUUCAGAGGAAAGCGGAGCGCCUGCGGUACCGCAAGCCGACGUAUGGCAUCAAGAACGUACUGACAAGACAGCAACGGCACAUGAUGAGCCGCCGCCGUGGUUGGAUGCCGGGGAGGAUGGCGGCGAAUUGGACGUCGCGCCUACGCAAGCCGAUCUGGCGCGGCUACCCUCUUACGAGCACGACGCUGCCGACAGCGUCGAGGAGGACAUAGCGGAGGAAGAACUGGGUAGCGAUGCUGGACAGGCAGCGCCGGCGGCCGCUGCAUCGGCUCAUGGGGACAUGGAGCUGGAUGAUGUACUCUUCGGCGCCGACGGUCAUGCCCCGGCGUACGCAGCCGCGUCGCCCCCCGCGCCUGCGGCGGACAACAACGGCGACGACGGUCCAGACUGGUUAAACUUCUGAUGUUCGCCGGAUGCCGGGCAAGGCGUCUAUCACCGCGUAGACUUCAGUAGUCGGUGUUCACGUCACAUUUCUAUGUUUGCCGCUGAAUGCAUAGGUCUACGCCCCUUUCCAUCUGUGAGCCUGCUUCCUGGCAUCUGGCACGCACGACGGAGGACGUCCCCCGCGCAUGGCAUUUGUUCGGUCCUCUCCUCUUCAGCGACCUGUGGUUGCCUCGUUCUGCUGGACACACCGGUGGCCAGUAAGCCUCGCUGCUCCACGAUGAUGGCGCCGCCCCUCAGGAGAACAAUUGCUCGCCCCCCUCCCCGUCGUGUUCACCUCGCCAUCUAAAUGAUUGUGUGUGUGUCUGUUUCUGCGUGCACUGCUCGACCUGCUCUCUCGCUCCUUUUUUCGUGUGUGCGGGCUUCGUCCUGCCAUUGGAGUGUUUCCUUCGUGGAAAGGAUGGUGAUGCUCGUGAUGCGCGUUCUCAGACUCUGAUGGCUGUGGGUGGAGUCGCUGCGUCGUGUGCAGAGGAGGGGGCGUGGGAGGCUGCCUUAUCUGCGCAAGUGCGUGAAGCGUUUGGCUCUUCUUCGUGUUUCCACUUCUUUUUAAUGGUUAGGUUUUCGGAAGUGCUUCUUUUUCUGGUCUUUGGCUCUCGCACGCGCGUGUUUGUGUGUGUGUGUGUAUCGGUGAGUACGAGCGAAUGUGGGCAUGAGGAGACGAGGAGGGGAGAGUCGAGACCAGAGAAGUCGAUGGAGGGGGAAGACAUUGGUGGUGACGAAGGAUGGCUGAUGCUGGACGAAAAAAGAGGUGACACUAGUGGUAAAAGUCCAGCGAAGAUGCGCGCCCAUCGUGUCUCUUGAAAACCAGUGUCGGUCGACUGCGUCUCUCGCCUUUGCAACCUGUCAUGAACUUCCUCACAUUUUUUUUUUACUGCUUCCGUGCUUCGGUUCUCAUGAUUCACGAGGUGGCAAUGCUGCACAGCUUGUCACCUUCUGUGGCGCUCUCUAAGUGUAGGCAUCCUCCCCCUCCCCCGACCAUCUUACCUCUCAAUCUCUGCAAACGUAUCUAUAUACGUUUUUCCAUGAUACCGCUAUAUAUAUAUCCUGCUUCUCGCAUUCCGGGAGACCUGACCUGAUGUCUAUAGUACCCGCACAGAAGAUGCUUAGCGUAAGAUGGUCGCUGACCUUAUGUUCUUGUAGCGCAUAUGUUUAUGCCCCCUCCCCUGUUCUUUCUUUGUUGUUUGCCCCUCCCCCAAUUUUUCUUUUUCUUUCUGCGUCUUCGUCUUUACGAUGUAAGUGCCUCUCUGUCUCUCUGUUGCGGCGCUCUCUGACUGUUUCUGCCUGCCGUGGUAUGCAUGGCAAACAGGGUGCGCCUCAACACAUCCGUGCCGCAGCGACUUGCUACCUGGGGUAAUAUGCAAGGAAUAGAGAACGAAUGGGAACCACCUGUAUCUUCGUGUGCAAGUGUGCGUGCGUGUGUCUUUCCGUAUGUGAAGCGAACCAGAAAUCAG
This 4196-nucleotide unclassified non-coding RNA is filed under the name Leishmania donovani. RNAcentral describes it as "gene:LdHU3.32.2540(CDS-product:hypothetical_prote in_conserved)". The record is from RNAcentral. Lineage: Eukaryota; Euglenozoa; Kinetoplastea; Trypanosomatida; Trypanosomatidae.